AACAACAACUCAAAUCAUGUGGUUAUCACAACAAAUACCAAAUCAUGUGAAAAAUAAGAAUCAAGAGGUCUUUCAAAGGUUGUAAUGUGGCUUAGGUUACAAGAAAGGAUAUGAUUAAGAGAAUUCAACAAAGUUGCCUAUCCUAAGGGAGCAUUCCCAAACAUUCAACUCUACACAAUUUCCCUUUCUUUGAUCCCUAUCUUUUUCUUUUUCUUUUUCUUUUCAAAUCCACACAACCAUGAGCAUUUUCUUUGCUU
Molecule: long non-coding RNA, 257 nt
Filed under: Lathyrus oleraceus (garden pea)
Lineage: Eukaryota; Viridiplantae; Streptophyta; Magnoliopsida; Fabales; Fabaceae
Description: Pisum sativum (pea) long non-coding RNA (PSAT_LNC041282)
Source: RNAcentral